AGCAAUAUGGUGUAGUGGUAGGAUGAAGGGCUUGUAACCAAAAGGUUGCUGGUUCGUUUCCCAGAUGGUGCAC
This is a non-coding RNA of Megalops atlanticus (tarpon), 73 nucleotides long. Lineage: Eukaryota; Metazoa; Chordata; Actinopteri; Elopiformes; Megalopidae. The record is from the annotation of a GenBank genome assembly.